AACGAACGCUGGCGGCAUGCCUAACACAUGCAAGUCGAACGAGACCUUCGGGUCUAGUGGCGCACGGGUGCGUAACGCGUGGGAACCUGCCCUUAGGUUCGGAAUAACUCCCCGAAAGGGGUGCUAAUACCGGAUAAUGUCUUCGGACCAAAGAUUUAUCGCCUUUGGAUGGGCCCGCGUUGGAUUAGCUAGUUGGUAGGGUAAAAGCCUACCAAGGCGACGAUCCAUAGCUGGUCUGAGAGGAUGAUCAGCCACACUGGGACUGAGGCACGGCCCAGACUCCGACGGGAGGGAGCAGUGGGGAAUAAUGGACAAUGGGCGAAAGCCUGAGCCAGCAAGGCCGCGUAAGUGAUGAAGGCCGUAGGGAUGUAAAGCUCUUUUACCCGGGAUGAUAAUGACAGUACCGGGAGAAUAAGCUCCGGCAAACUCCGU
Molecule: ribosomal RNA, 432 nt
Filed under: uncultured bacterium
Lineage: Bacteria
Description: partial 16S ribosomal RNA
Rfam family: Bacterial small subunit ribosomal RNA
Source: RNAcentral